AACGUGGCUCAGCAGGUAGAGCAGUGCACUCGUAAUGCACAGGUCGCGGGUUCGAAUCCCGCCGUUA
This 67-nucleotide transfer RNA is filed under the name human gut metagenome. It matches the Rfam family "tRNA". Rfam says of the family: Transfer RNA (tRNA) molecules are approximately 80 nucleotides in length. The record is from RNAcentral.